This 237-nucleotide unclassified non-coding RNA is filed under the name Hevea brasiliensis (rubber tree). Lineage: Eukaryota; Viridiplantae; Streptophyta; Magnoliopsida; Malpighiales; Euphorbiaceae. The record is from RNAcentral.
AAAAUAAAACACAUUUAGGUGAAUUGAAUAGCCAAUUUUGUAUAUGCUACAAGAACCAUGUUAAUAUGGAAAAAUUAACAGGCAAAAGCAAAGCUAAGACAGAAUGAUGUUUCACUCUUUAGAUCCCUGACAAAGGUUUUCACCAACCAAAUUUGUUAUAGGGGUCGAGUGUUACCUGCUCGAUAUGGCUUCUUGCAUGAUAUUAACAGUAUUGGGGGCUUCACCUUCUGUAUCUUG